Molecule: unclassified non-coding RNA, 1504 nt
Filed under: Hevea brasiliensis (rubber tree)
Lineage: Eukaryota; Viridiplantae; Streptophyta; Magnoliopsida; Malpighiales; Euphorbiaceae
Source: RNAcentral
UCUUUCCCUUCACCCUCUCUCGCGACAUACCAGAGAUUACCGCUUCUCGCACUGUGACCACAAUCCUCGAUGUGUCGUCAUCUCUCCAACAGGCUUUGAGCAUCCUCUCUUUUGACCCACAAACCACAAACCCCUUCUCUCAGCAGCAGCAGACUGUUACCUCAUUUGCCAAUUCUACAUUUUCAUUUUCGCUUCAGCUUCAAUCUCGUGAAACCAUCCAUAAAACCCAACACGAGGACUAUAAAAGCUUGGUCAUGUCUCGACUCGAUCGAGACUCUUCCCGAGUGAAAGCCAUCAUCACCAGGGUAGAACUCGCCCUCAAUGGUAUAUCCAAAUCUGAUCUCAAGCCCUUGGACGCUGAGAUCCAGCCCCAGGAUUUAUCAACUCCGGUUACUUCCGGCACCAGCCAUGGAAGUGGCGAGUAUUUCUCUCGGGUUGGAGUCGGGAACCCGGCAAAGUCCUACUACAUGGUUUUGGAUACUGGAAGUGAUGUGAACUGGCUUCAAUGCCAGCCCUGCUCCGAUUGCUACCAGCAAGCGGAUCCCAUCUUCAACCCAACGGCGUCGUCUAGCUACGCCCCAAUAUCUUGUAAUUCUGCGCAGUGCAACUCUCUUCAAAUGUCUAUGUGCCGGAGCGACCAGUGUCUUUACCAGGUCAAUUACGGCGAUGGAUCCUUCACCAUGGGCGACUUCGUCACCGAGACGCUGUCGUUUGGGAGCUCGGGGACCGUCAACAAAGUUGCUUUAGGCUGCGGUCAUGACAAUGAAGGAUUAUUUGUCGGCGCUGCUGGGCUGCUCGGACUGGGGGGUGGCCCUCUCUCACUCACAUCACAGCUCAAAGCGUCGUCGUUUUCUUAUUGUCUAGUGAAUCGUGACUCAACUGGAUCUUCCACUCUGGACUUUAACUCGGGCCUAGUCAGCGAUGCAGUCAUAGCUCCCUUAUUGAGAAGCAACAAAAUCGACACAUUUUACUAUGUUGGACUCACCGGGUUGAGUGUCGGCGGCCGGUUGCUUUCCAUUCCACAAUCCGUUUUCCAGAUGGACGACUCGGGUAACGGCGGGAUCAUCGUCGACUGCGGGACCGCAAUAACUCGGUUGCAGAGCCAGGCAUACAACUCACUGCGAGACGCGUUCGUGAGCAUGACACAAAACUUGAAACCCACUGGCGGUGUGGCUUUGUUCGAUACUUGUUAUGAUCUGUCAGGGCAAACCAGUGUCAAGGUACCUACGGUGUCGUUCCAUUUCUCAGAAGGAAAGUCGUGGAACUUACCGGCGGCGAAUUAUCUGAUCCCAGUGGACUCAGACGGCACAUAUUGUUUCGCAUUUGCUCCAACGACGUCGUCUUUAUCGAUUAUAGGAAACGUGCAGCAGCAGGGCACACGUGUGAGCUUUGACCUGGCUAAUAAUCGAGUCGGGUUCUCGAGCAAUAAGUGUUAAAAGUAGUGUUGGAUUGGUCAUUAAAAUGACCUUUUUAUCCCUGGUAAAGAAGGUGAUUGGCUAUAGUA